Molecule: ribosomal RNA, 497 nt
Filed under: uncultured bacterium
Lineage: Bacteria
Description: partial 16S ribosomal RNA
Rfam family: Bacterial small subunit ribosomal RNA
Source: RNAcentral
GACGAACGCUGGCGGCGUGCCUAAUACAUGCAAGUAGAACGCUGAAGAGAGGAGCUUACUCUUCUUGGAUGAGUUGCGAACGGGUGAGUAACGCGUAGGUAACCUGCCUUGUAGCGGGGGAUAACUAUUGGAAACGAUAGCUAAUACCGCAUAACAAUGGAUGACACAUGUCAUUUAUUUGAAAGGGGCAAUUGCUCCACUACAAGAUGGACCUGCGUUGUAUUAGCUAGUAGGUGAGGUAAUGGCUCACCUAGGCGACGAUACAUAGCCGACCUGAGAGGGUGAUCGGCCACACUGGUACUGAGACACGGCCCAGCCUCCUACGGGAGGCAGCAGUAGGGGAUCUUCGGCAAUGGGGGCAAUCCUGACCGAGCAACGCCGCGUGAGUGAAGAAGGUUGUCGGAUCGUAAAGCUCUGUUGUAAGUCAAGAACGGGUGUGAGAGUGGAAAGUUCACACUGUGACGGUAGCUUACCAGAAAGGGACGGCUAACUCCGUG